Long non-coding RNA from Salmo salar (Atlantic salmon), 3820 nucleotides. RefSeq lists it as uncharacterized. NCBI's taxonomy places the organism in Eukaryota, Metazoa, Chordata, Actinopteri, Salmoniformes, Salmonidae. The record is from RefSeq and is a predicted model, not a curated record.
AGGAGCUCAAAAACAGAGCAGCUGAAAGAGAAGCUCGGGUAACAAACCACUGGGGGGACAAAGGAUUCCUCCUAAAUGAUGUAACUCUUCCAGGGUCCUGGAAUUCUGGGCCUGUCCUCGCCCCCCUACCUCCUCCAUAGACUCCACACGUCCUUCCCUCAUUGAGGCAUCUUUCUACACCCCCUUUGUCGGCCCUACCGGAAUUCUGUUGCCAUGGUUAAGGAGCUGCGCCAUAGGAACAGGAUUGGGUGACACACAUCUGCCCCUAGAAGCACCUGUUGACAUUCAGGAAAUAUCCAUCAAGAGUUAUCAAAACACACAGCCCACAAAGUCUGGGGACGGUCCAGGAUCUCACUCGAACUCAAUCCAACUCCCAACCCUGACUGGUCGCCACUGUUCCCAUCUUAGAGUCCAGAGCAAAGACAUUCAACUUUAUUGGCUUUCACUAGUUAUGUUAUAUAGUAUGGACAGAGUAUAGUCCGUAUGGAGCGACUACUGUAAGUUGCAUUGUGGGUUUAUGUAUACCUGUGCCUCAAAGUGCUGUCAUGCAUUCAACACUGAGACUGAUUAAGAACUGCAAUUGUUUCUUUCCAGGCAAUUUGGGUGGGAUUGAGGUUCUCUGGGAGCUUGGUUUACUUGACAGCGUUAUUAGGAGAAGCUAUAAUGUAGGUUCUGAUGUGUGUAAUACAAAUUUUAAUAACAGUGUGUUUAAUCUUAGAGGGAAUUCUGGCACACAGGGCAGCAGUUCCUGAGGCAGAAUGAAGAAGGACCUUGAUUCUGUAGUCCAGUUGAGUCAGUCCAAAGCCUUACCCUGCAGAUCUUUAACUGCAGAGGGCUAUAAAGUGUUAACAACCAUCUUUAUUUCACUCUGAAUACUAAAAGGCUGUCUUGAAAGCAUUUCAAUGAGGUUACUUAAUUUUGUAACCUGCUUUUUGAUGGAACUACCUCACCCAAAAUGGACUGACUUGGUGUAGUUUUUCAGGGUGAGGUCAGUCUUUAUGUUUUCAGCUAAUGGAAAACAUCAGCACCAUAUUCCUAUGGUAUAUUACAUCAUAUCAAUUUUAUCUGUUCAUGCAGCACAGUGUGUAACUUUAUAUGCUAGCUGGGCUGAUGGCCAGCUGCACAAAGCAGGGAGUCUGGAGUUUUGGUUGUAAGAUCUUUGCUCCCUUACCAGGGACUCUCAGCUUCCUUUGCAGCUGCUGUGAACAGUGUGUGUACGUGACUGCGUACACAUGUGUGUGUACAGUAUGAGUGAACAGUAUGUUGUUUACAUACUGGUGUAGGAUAAUUUUGUCAUGUAAGGUAUCAAUAAGGAUGCGAUCGGAUCACAAAAAGGGGUCUUGGGCUAUUCUUUACUAUGCAAACAAAACUUUGUAGAGACAGCACGAUGCCAUCUAAUCUGGAUCAAACUUCAAAACUUUUAAGAACAAAUGCUAUGAGAAAAACCAACUCGGGAGAGAAGGGAGGAGGAAACUUGGCGCAGUGAGAGAGCAUCUUGAGUACAGCUGGGGCAGGGUCACUUCCAGAGAGAGAGCGAGAGAGAUUGUGAAAGGUUAUUUCUGGGCCUGCCCUCCUGUCCCCUCCCCUAACACACAAUCAUGCAUCAUCCACACCCUUCACUAUCUCCAGUCAUCUAUCUCUGGCUGCCACAGCAGGGCCUAGUCGUACAGAUCCCAUUCCCAUCGAGGCCUUCCCCCAUUCAUGAUUUCAUGUCUUACACUGGCGGAUGGGAGACGGGAGGUGCUGGGAUUGUUCUAACCGCGGCUAUCACUAUUGAGCGGAUUGCUAGGGGAAAUAGCUCUGUCUGUCUGUGUCCUCGUUGUGCUGUAGGUAGGGUAAGCCAAGGCAGCUGCAGUGUUAAAGAUUAAGAGGUGAUCUGUGCGUAUUGGUAUUAACAUGACAUGUCAGCACAGUCCUCUCAUAGCUGAACACAGAAUGGAGAUAGAAUGAAAAGUCAUUGCAAUGGUAUAGCCUACUCUUUUCAUUAAAAACACAUGUUAGAUCAAAUAUUGUGGCCUAAUUUGCGAUGUGUUUACACUUAGUUCAGUAGGGAAUAAAUCACAAAAGGUAGAACAAAAAUUAAGGUUAUAGACUUGCGGUAACAACAAAUGUUGUAAAAAUUACAUUCAAUUGAUUAGCUUUGUUUACUGUCUUUUAAUUCCUUAGGAAAAUAACAGGUGUACACUUUGUACAGGUACAAAUGCCUCGUAUAUUGAAGUUCCUGGAAGAGAAAUUCUGGCCCAUUGUGUGAGAUGGUGUUGUAGUUUCAUUUUACUUUGGGGGGCCCUAGCAGCACCCAAUCAAAUCGCUGCCAGUACCAUCUCCCUGAUCUCCUCACUCAUCGCAAUAAUGAGGAGGGGGAGGGGCAGAGCAGGUGGUGCCCCAACAACCCAUCCACCACCCAGAGAGAGGAGCAGGAUACAAAAGCACAACUGCUCCAAUGUGUGUUUUCUAGGUAGACAAAGAAAGUAGUGCUGAUACAUGAUAUGCAACAGUAAGCCAUUACUAGAGUUCAUUUUCAGCGUGUCAUGGUUACCAUCGAUGAAUCCAGUUUUUCCAGAAGUGGGGGAGGGCAAGGGACAGGAGACUGUCUAAGAAAUGGAUACCACUAAAAUGACAUUUUAUUGUACUUCUAUUCUUUGACAAGGUUUAUUCAUCUUUGACAGUGUUUAGUCAAGGUGCAGUAUAUCAUACCUUCCGUUUACCAGAAAAUAGGCUAUAUUUGAGCCAUAUUGCCUUUUUGUUUUCUGCAGGCAGUUUAAUCCUUAUUUUCUACAUGUAGCUCAUCUAUAAUUGGUUGCUUGAGGCAAUCACAUAAUUUACUAUAAGCCAUAUAUUGUAAAAAGGAACAAAAGCCAGUACAUUCAUUCCUUUCCAUUUAUGCAUCUGUAUGGUACAGAAAUGUGUUCAGUUUAACAAUACCACAGUCCAUUGCCUAUGUGUUGAAAAUAGGUGAUCAGUACAAAAUAAAUAAGAUCAUUUGGUUCAAUUAGUUAUAACAAAAGAGAUCUGGACUUAAUUAAAAGUGAGCCGCUGAACACGUAUUAUUUUUCAGCAGACUGAAGCUUCCUUAGCCAUGAAGGACAAACGCAGAUACUUUUCUGUGGCUCGGGCAUUUCUCUUCCGAGGACAAGAUGCUUCAGCACCAACCAGAGAGUGCAGUGACCUCCAUCAGUGUGGGGUCGUUGGGGAAAACAUGAGCAUUUUUUCCAUGUUGACAUGUUUUUUAACAAGGCCCUAUUGGGCGACUAGUGCUUUCAGUGUACCUUACAUGUCCUUGACAUUAGACAAUGUGCUCUCUCCAUCUUGGAGUAAAAUGGCAGCCAGGCAGCUAAGAGGGAAAUUGAUUAAAUGCGGUCUUUGCACUGUAGCAGAAAUGAAGAAUGAUAGUACUUCUGGGGAAUACAGACUUUGCACAGAAAUGGGAUCAGCUCCCUGCUAAGAGCGCAGCCAAACUGAAAGAAAAACUGCUUGCAUCUUUAAAUGAUACUCCUGCGUCAAUAGCAGCUGUAUCAUCUGCAUGGGUCUUUUGUCUGGGUACAAAUACUGUGCCUUUGGACGGCUAGAUCAAACUGCAACUGUUCCCCAGUUGGAAAUCAAACUGCAGCAUAACCAACGAAUAACAGUCUUCUACUGAACUUGGAUUCAGAGAGUGCCAUGGGUUUGGUGCUCUUAGUUGUAAACCUUUUAGGGCUGUCCCCAACAACAACAACAAUUCUGGCUCUACUGAGAGUUGUCUUUCGACCAAUAUAUUGUUAAAAAUGUUAAAACAUGUAUUUUUCCCAUAUAAAGACACAAUAAAAUAUACUAUAUGCACUGA